UACAGAUUUCUAUGGCAGAAAAAUCUGCCUC
This 31-nucleotide small RNA is filed under the name Bombyx mori (domestic silkworm). Its description in RNAcentral is "ovarian small RNA-20274". The record is from RNAcentral. Lineage: Eukaryota; Metazoa; Arthropoda; Insecta; Lepidoptera; Bombycidae.